Molecule: ribosomal RNA, 381 nt
Filed under: Triticum aestivum (bread wheat)
Lineage: Eukaryota; Viridiplantae; Streptophyta; Magnoliopsida; Poales; Poaceae
Description: partial small subunit ribosomal RNA
Source: RNAcentral
AUGGCGCCCACGGCAGGCGGAUCACUACUGGCCCUAUCAGUCAUCGUCCUUGCAACCGUUGCGUCGACCCUUCUGCUGGCGCCAGUGGCGGCCAAUGACAUUGACGCGCUCUCGGCCCUGAGGUGCGGCUUGAAGGACCCCAACGGCGCGUUGAAGACCUGGGACCCACAGUUGGUGGACCCUUGCACCUGGUUCCACAUCAUCUGCGAUGACAACAAACGCGUCACCCGCAUGAAAGUAGACUUGGAUACCUCCAUUCCUUUACGCGAGAUUCUGAUUCGGUCUUUGUGCGUGCCUCCGGUACUUCCCGUGUUUUCAAAUAAUUGGUGUUCUAGGAUUGUCUUAAGUCAAACUUCAUUAAGUUUGACCAAGUCUAUAUAA